UGCUUAGGAAUCUGCCUAUUAGUGGGGGACAACAUUCCGAAAGGAAUGCUAAUACCGCAUACGUCCUACGGGAGAAAGCAGGGGACCUUCGGGCCUUGCGCUAAUAGAUGAGCCUAAGUCGGAUUAGCUAGUUGGUGGGGUAAAGGCCUACCAAGGCGACGAUCUGUAGCGGGUCUGAGAGGAUGAUCCGCCACACUGGGACUGAGACACGGCCCAGACUCCUACGGGAGGCAGCAGUGGGGAAUAUUGGACAAUGGGGGGAACCCUGAUCCAGCCAUGCCGCGUGUGUGAAGAAGGCCUUUUGGUUGUAAAGCACUUUAAGCGAGGAGGAGGCUACUAGUAUUAAUACUUCUAGGAUAGUGGACGUUACUCGCAGAAUAAGCACCGGCUAACUCUGUGCCAGCAGCCGCGGUAAUACAGAGGGUGCGAGCGUUAAUCGGAUUUACUGGGCGUAAAGCGUGCGUAGGCGGCCAUUUAAGUCAAAUGUGAAAUCCCCGAGCUUAACUUGGGAAUUGCAUUCGAUACUGGAUGGCUAGAGUAUGGGAGAGGAUGGUAGAAUUCCAGGUGUAGCGGUGAAAUGCGUAGAGAUCUGGAGGAAUACCGAUGGCGAAGGCAGCCAUCUGGCCUAAUACUGACGCUGAGGUACGAAAGCAUGGGGAGCAAACAGGAUUAGAUACCCUGGUAGUCCAUGCCGUAAACGAUGUCUACUAGCCGUUGGGGCCUUGAGGCUUUAGUGGCGCAGCUACGCGAUAGUAGACCGCCUGGGGAGUACGGUCGCAAGACUAAAACUCAAAUGAAUUGACGGGGGCCCGCACAAGCG
RNAcentral lists this ribosomal RNA (820 nucleotides) under Acinetobacter beijerinckii. Its description in RNAcentral is "bacterial SSU rRNA". It matches the Rfam family "Bacterial small subunit ribosomal RNA", at positions 114 to 931 of the family's 1533-position model. The record is from RNAcentral. Lineage: Bacteria; Pseudomonadati; Pseudomonadota; Gammaproteobacteria; Moraxellales; Moraxellaceae.